UAGCUCUCUCUAGGCCUGCAUCCCCAGC
This 28-nucleotide non-coding RNA is filed under the name Mus musculus (house mouse). Lineage: Eukaryota; Metazoa; Chordata; Mammalia; Rodentia; Muridae. The record is from RNAcentral.